RNAcentral lists this ribosomal RNA (542 nucleotides) under uncultured bacterium. RNAcentral describes it as "bacterial SSU rRNA". It matches the Rfam family "Bacterial small subunit ribosomal RNA", at positions 777 to 1314 of the family's 1533-position model. The record is from RNAcentral.
AAUAGAUACCCCGGUAGUCCACGCCGUAAACGAUGAGUGCUAAGUGUUAGAGGGUUUCCGCCCUUUAGUGCUGCAGCUAACGCAUUAAGCACUCCGCCUGGGGAGUACGGCCGCAAGGCUGAAACUCAAAGGAAUUGACGGGGGCCCGCACAAGCGGUGGAGCAUGUGGUUUAAUUCGAAGCAACGCGAAGAACCUUACCAGGUCUUGACAUCCUCUGAUCUCCCUGGAGACAGGGCCUUCCCCUUCGGGGGACAGAGUGACAGGUGGUGCAUGGUUGUCGUCAGCUCGUGUCGUGAGAUGUUGGGUUAAGUCCCGCAACGAGCGCAACCCUUGACCUUAGUUGCCAGCAUUCAGUUGGGCACUCUAAGGUGACUGCCGGUGACAAACCGGAGGAAGGUGGGGAUGACGUCAAAUCAUCAUGCCCCUUAUGACCUGGGCUACACACGUGCUACAAUGGAUGGUACAAAGGGCUGCGAGACCGCGAGGUUAAGCCAAUCCCGAGAAAACCAUUCCCGAGUUCGGAUUGCAGGCUGCAACCCCG